UAGCAUAUCAAUAAGCGGAGGAAAAGAAACCAACAGGGAUUGCCCUAGUAACGGCGAGUGAAGCGGCAACAGCUCAAAUUUGAAAUCUGGCUUCGGCCCGAGUUGUAAUUUGCAGAGGAAGCUUUAGGCGCGGCACCUUCUGAGUCCCCUGGAACGGGGCGCCAUAGAGGGUGAGAGCCCCGUAUAGUUGGAUGCCUAGCCUGUGUAAAGCUCCUUCGACGAGUCGAGUAGUUUGGGAAUGCUGCUCAAAAUGGGAGGUAAAUUUCUUCUAAAGCUAAAUACCGGCCAGAGACCGAUAGCGCACAAGUAGAGUGAUCGAAAGAUGAAAAGCACUUUGAAAAGAGGGUUAAACAGCACGUGAAAUUGUUGAAAGGGAAGCGCUUGUGACCAGACUUGCGCCAGGCUGAUCAUCCGGUGUUCUCACCGGUGCACUCGGCCCGGCACAGGCCAGCAUCGGUUCUCGCGGGGGGAUAAAGGUCUCGGGAACGUAGCUCCUCCGGGAGUGUUAUAGCCCGGGGCGUAAUGCCCUCGCGGGGACCGAGGUUCGCGCAUCUGCAAGGAUGCUGGCGUAAUGGUCAUCAGCGACCCGUCUUGAAACACGGACCAAGGAGUCAAGGUUUUGCGCGAGUGUUUGGGUGUCAAACCCGCACGCGUAAUGAAAGUGAACGUAGGUGAGAGCUUCGGCGCAUCAUCGACCGAUCCUGAUGUUUUCGGAUGGAUUUGAGUAGGAGCGUUAAGCCUUGGACCCGAAAGAUGGUGAACUAUGCUUGGAUAGGGUGAAGCCAGAGGAAACUCUGGUGGAGGCUCGCAGCGGUUCUGACGUGCAAAUCGAUCGUCAAAUCUGAGCAUGGGGGGCGAAAGACUAAUCGAACCAUCUAGUAGCUGGUUACCGCCGAA
Molecule: ribosomal RNA, 897 nt
Filed under: Dichotomopilus funicola
Lineage: Eukaryota; Fungi; Ascomycota; Sordariomycetes; Sordariales; Chaetomiaceae
Description: LSU rRNA
Rfam family: Eukaryotic large subunit ribosomal RNA
Source: RNAcentral